AUUGAACGCUGGCGGCAUGCUUUACACAUGCAAGUCGAACGGCAGCACGGACUUCGGUCUGGUGGCGAGUGGCGAACGGGUGAGUAAUACAUCGGAACGUACCCAGAAGUGGGGGAUAACGUAGCGAAAGUUACGCUAAUACCGCAUACGUUCUACGGAAGAAAGUGGGGGAUCGCAAGACCUCAUGCUUUUGGAGCGGCCGAUGUCUGAUUAGCUAGUUGGUGAGGUAAAGGCUCACCAAGGCGACGAUCAGUAGCUGGUCUGAGAGGACGACCAGCCACACUGGAACUGAGACACGGUCCAGACUCCUACGGGAGGCAGCAGUGGGGAAUUUUGGACAAUGGGCGCAAGCCUGAUCCAGCAAUGCCGCGUGAGUGAAGAAGGCCUUCGGGUUGUAAAGCUCUUUUGUCAGGGAAGAAACGGUAGAGGCUAAUAUCCUUUGCUAAUGACGGUACCUGAAGAAUAAGCACCGGCUAACUACGUGCCAGCAGCCGCGGUAAUACGUAGGGUGCAAGCGUUAAUCGGAAUUACUGGGCGUAAAGCGUGCGCAGGCGGUUUUGUAAGUCUGACGUGAAAGCCCCGGGCUCAACCUGGGAAUUGCGUUGGAGACUGCAAGGCUUGAAUCUGGCAGAGGGGGGUAGAAUUCCACGUGUAGCAGUGAAAUGCGUAGAGAUGUGGAGGAACACCGAUGGCGAAGGCAGCCCCCUGGGUCAAGAUUGACGCUCAUGCACGAAAGCGUGGGGAGCAAACAGGAUUAGAUACCCUGGUAGUCCACGCCCUAAACGAUGUCUACUAGUUGUCGGGUUUUAAUUAACUUGGUAACGCAGCUAACGCGUGAAGUAGACCGCCUGGGGAGU
This 857-nucleotide ribosomal RNA is filed under the name uncultured bacterium. RNAcentral describes it as "bacterial SSU rRNA". It matches the Rfam family "Bacterial small subunit ribosomal RNA", at positions 28 to 881 of the family's 1533-position model. The record is from RNAcentral.